RNAcentral lists this ribosomal RNA (440 nucleotides) under uncultured bacterium. RNAcentral's name for it is "partial 16S ribosomal RNA". It matches the Rfam family "Bacterial small subunit ribosomal RNA", at positions 338 to 795 of the family's 1533-position model. The record is from RNAcentral.
CCUACGGGCGUCAGCAGUGGGGAAUAUUGCACAAUGGGGGAAACCCUGAUGCAGCGACGCCGCGUGAGUGAAGAAGUAAUUCGUUAUGUAAAGCUCUAUCAGCAGGGAAGAAAGUGACGGUACCUGAGUAAGAAGCCCCGGCUAACUACGUGCCAGCAGCCGCGGUAAUACGUAGGGGGCAAGCGUUAUCCGGAUUUAAUGGGUGUAAAGGGAGCGUAGACGGCAGUGCAAGUCUGGAGUGAAAGGCGGGGGCUCAACCCCCGGACUGCUCUGGAAACUGUGCGGCUUGAGUGCAGGAGAGGUAAGUGGAAUUCCUAGUGUAGCGGUGAAAUGCGUAGAUAUUAGGAGGAACACCAGUGGCGAAGGCGGCUUACUGGACUGUAACUGACGUUGAGGCUCGAAAGCGUGGGGAGCAAACAGGAUUAGAUACCCGAGUAGUC